This 563-nucleotide ribosomal RNA is filed under the name uncultured Acidobacteriota bacterium. RNAcentral's name for it is "bacterial SSU rRNA". It matches the Rfam family "Bacterial small subunit ribosomal RNA", at positions 335 to 915 of the family's 1533-position model. Lineage: Bacteria; Pseudomonadati; Acidobacteriota. The record is from RNAcentral.
ACUCCUACGGGGGCAGCAGUGGGGAAUAUUGGACAAUGGGGGCAACCCUGAUCCAGCAAUGCCGCGUGAGUGAUGAAGGCCUUCGGGUUGUAAAGCUCUUUUGCCAGGGACGAUGAUGACGGUACCGGAAGAAGAAGCACCGGCUAACUCUGUGCCAGCAGCCGCGGUAAUACAGAGGGUGCAAGCGUUGUUCGGAAUUAUUGGGCGUAAAGGGCGCGUAGGCGGUGCGGUAAGUCUGUAGUGAAAUCUCUGGGCUCAACCCAGAGCCUGCAUCCAAAACUGGCGGGCUAGAGUUCUGGAGGGGGUAGCGGAAUUCCUGGUGUAGCGGUGAAAUGCGUAGAUAUCAGGAGGAACACCGGUGGCGAAGGCGGCUACCUGGACAGAAACUGACGCUGAGGCGCGAAAGCUAGGGGAGCAAACAGGAUUAGAUACCCUGGUAGUCCUAGCCCUAAACUAUGGAUGCUUGGUGUGGCGGGUACCCAAUCCCGCCGUGCCGGAGCUAACGCGUUAAGCAUCCCGCCUGGGGAGUACGGUCGCAAGGCUGAAACUUAAAGGAAUUGACG